Molecule: long non-coding RNA, 3425 nt
Organism: Salvelinus fontinalis (brook trout)
Lineage: Eukaryota; Metazoa; Chordata; Actinopteri; Salmoniformes; Salmonidae
Exons: 3
Source: RefSeq, a predicted model, not a curated record
GAGCAGGGACUUUUAUAAAUCACCUAUUUCUUUUACUAUCCUAACGCUGACCACAGGCUGAAUAAUAACCCACUUCAGCGUUGCCGAGGACAGCAUCAUGGCAGGCCAGAGAGUAUCCAUGAAGGAACCAGUAUGUCUGAUUAGAGAACGACAGUGAUGGGAAGCUGCGUGUUGUCCGCAGUGCACUGGACAUCCUGGACCAGAUUGACCAGCAUGUGGUAGUGGUGUCGGUGGUCGGGCUGUAAUGCACCGGCAAGUCCUACCUCAUGAACAAGCUGGCUGGAAAGAGGAAAGGUUUUGCCCUGGGAGCCACCAUCCAGUCCAAAACUAAGGGCAUCUGGAUGUGGUGUGUGCCUCACCCUGAAAAAAGAGACCACACCCUGGUGCUGCUGGAUACAGAGGGUCUGGGGGAUGUGGAGAAGGUGGGAGGUCAAAGUUCACUCUCUGUCAAAAACCUUUUAUGGCUCAGAUUGUUUAGAUGACAGAAUGUAACAUUGCUAUGGGUAAAAUACCAUGUUAUCUCAAUAAACUGUGUCUAGUACAGAUAGCUGAUUUCAUCAUCUGUAUAUAAUGUCUGACUUAUAAAGGUAUGAUGUAUACCCAUUGAUUCUAAAGAGUAUAACAAAUAAAUAAGUACCCAUGAGCUUAGGUCAACUGUCAUACCCCAUCAGAACCCAAAAUAUAAGCUUGUUUUACUCCAAUGUUAUACAGAACCUGUUAAAAUGUUAUCACUCCCGUAUUUAAGCAAAGUUGAGCAAAGCACUUCAGCGGUGAGGUCAGCGUUGACUGCUGCGCCAGUCACUGCAUCUUAUGGCUUUAAUUUGGAGGGGGGAGAAGAUGAGGAAGUUAGUGUUUCAAAUGAGGUCUUACAAGGUCGGUUGAAAAACUCCCAGACUUUGCAAAACCUUGGUUAUGGUAGAUCAUUUAGAAUCUGAGAAACGUGAUGAAUUGGUAGCUCUUAUUAGAAACUACCCUGUUUUGUUUUCUGACACUCCAUCGCAAACCCACUUAAUUGAGCAUGAUAUAGACAUCGGAGAUGCUACGCCUAUCAAACAGAUUUUAUCGUGUAUCUGAGGAGAAGAGAUUGAAACUGGAAACAGAGGUGCAGUAAAUGUUGGACAAUGGUAUUGUGGAGCCAUGUUCAAAUUGGGCUUCACCCUGUCUUUUGGUCAAAAAGUCUGAUUCCACUUUCAGACCUUGCACUGAUUAUAGAAAAGUUAACAAUGUUACUAUAGCAGACCUUUACCCUCUUCCUAGGAUGGAGGACUGUAUUGAUCAAGUUGGGUCAGCAAAGUAUGUUAGCAAAUUUGAUCUUUUAAAGGGAUAUUGGCAAGUACCCCUUACCAAAUGAGCUUGCGAGAUUGCUGCCUUUAUAACUCCAUCUGGUUUGUUCUCUUACACAGUGAUGCCUUUCGGCUUGCAGAAUGCUCCAGCCACCUUCCAGAGGCUAAUGAAUUGGGUGGUCUCAGGUCUGGAAGGGUGUGCCGUGUAUUUGGACGACGUGGUCGUCUACUCAGACUCCUGGGAGGAGCAUGUUUGGAGAGUGCAAGCCCUGUUCGAAAGACUGGUGUGGGCCAGGUUGACUAUUAAUUUGGCAAAAUGUGAGUUUGCCAAAGCUACAGUCACAUGCCUUGGCAAGGUUGUUGGUCAGGGAUUUGUCUGUCCCGUGGAAGCCAAGGUCCAGGCUGUGAAGCAGUUCCCACAGCCCUCCACAAAGAAAGAACUGAUGUGCUUCCUGGGAAUGGUGGGGUACUACAGUGCUUUCUGUAAACUUUUCGGUAGUAGUGUCUCCACUGACCAAUCUGUUGAAGGCCAGGGCUGAAUUUAUCUGAUCCACCCAGUGUCAAGAGACAUUUGAUGCAGUUAAGGCUAUUUUGUGUUUGGAACCUGUGUUGGCAGCACCAAAUUUUGGGAAACCUUUCAAAUUGCAGGUAGAUGCCAGUCAAAUCGGUGCUGAGGCUGUGCUUCUCCAGGAGAAUGAUGACAAUGUUGAGUGUCCAGUCAAGUUUCUUCUCCCGGAAAUGUAAUAAGUAUCAGCAAAAUUAUUCUGUAAUUGAAAAGGAGGCUUUAGGUUUCAUUUGGGCUUUACAGCACUUCGAGGUCUGUUGGUUCUGGUUUGACCCCUUUAACUGUGUUCACUGACCACAACCCACUUAUUUUUCUGAGGUUCCUGCAAAAUCCCAACCAGCGCCUGAUGCGUUGGGCUUUGUUCUUGCAACCAUUCAACUUUGAUAUUAAACACAUUAGUGGUAGGGAUAAUAUCAUUGCUGUUGCUCUGUCCCGUGCUCCUUUAACCUAGUUUGUAUCUUUUCUCUGCUGACCCCUACGGGCUGUCUGUGCCUCUUUCCUCUUAAAUUGCUCCCCAGGUACCAGGGCUGCCGAGUUUGAGGGGCGGACAGCUGGGGGACACAGGGCUACUGCUAGGAGGCGGGACUGGUAUCCUUUUUCUUUUUGGGGAAAUUUGGAUUGUUUUGAAUAUAUUGGAGAAAUUUGGGUUGAGGGUGGGACCCUCAUUUUUAAGGGGGGUAUCACGGCCCCUCUGCUUUGCAGGGGCGGUUCCUCCUGCAGGCAGAGGAGGGUCGUUAGUGAUUGGAGCCACCUGGGCUCAGGGUAUUUAAACUUGCUUCACUAAUCACUUCUCUCUCUCUGCUCCUCCAGGUAUGAUCCUGUUUUGUUUGUUCAGUUUUCAUUCAGUCAUAUUUACACUCACAGAUUCACGCAUCCCUGCACUUUACAUGCACCCUACAUUAUGAUACUUCCACACCUAUUCCUUUUUCUUUGUUUAAAGUUAAUAGUUUUGGUUUAGAAUAAAUAACCUUUUUAAUUGGCCUCUACCUGUUGUUUGUGUCCCCUCAGCCUGUGACAAAAAUAUGAGCUGGCCUGUGACUAUGUAUGUAUACAGUGCAUUCGGAAAGUAUUCAGACCCCUUCCCUUUUCCACAUUUUUAUGUUACAGCAUUAUUCUAAAAUGGAAUAUAUAUACUUUUUUGCAGCCACAUGCUAGACCUCAUGUGGCUGGAGUGUGUCAGCAGUUCCUGCAAGAGGAAGGCAUUGAUGCUAUGGACUGGCCCGCCCGUUCCCCAGACCUGAAUCCAAUUGAGCACAUCUGGGACAUCAUGUCUCGCUCCAUCCACCAACGCCACGUUGCACAACAGACUGUCCAGGAGUUGGCGGAUGCUUUAGUCCAGGUCUGGGAGGAGAUGCCUCAGGAGACCAUCCGCCACCUCAUCAGGAGCAUGCCCAGGCGUUGUAGGGAGGUCAUACAGGCACGCGGAGGCCACACACACUACUGAGCCUCAUUUUGACUUGUUUUAAGGACAUUACAUCAAAGUUGGAUCAGCCUGUAGUGUGGUUUUCCACUUUAAUUUUGAGUGUGAUUCCAAAUCCAGACCUCCAUGGGUUGAUAAAUUUGAUUUCCAUUGAUAA